UCCGUAGGUGAACCUGCGGAAGGAUCAUUACUAGAGCAAAGGAUAGACAGCGCCCGCGGAGCUCGCUCCCGGGGCUACCCUACUCCCGUAGGGUUUAGAGUCGUCGGGCCUCUCGGAGAAGCUCGGUCCUGAACUCCACCCUUGAAUAAACUACCUUUGUUGCUUUGGCGGGCCGCCUCGUGCCAGCGGCUUCGGCUGUUGAGUGCCCGCCAGAGGACCCCAACUCUUGUUUUUAGUGAUGUCUGAGUACUAUAUAAUAGUUAAAACUUUCAACAACGGAUCUCUUGGUUCUGGCAUCGAUGAAGAACGCAGCGAAAUGCGAUAAGUAAUGUGAAUUGCAGAAUUCAGUGAAUCAUCGAAUCUUUGAACGCACAUUGCGCCCUCUGGUAUUCCGGGGGGCAUGCCUGUUCGAGCGUCAUUAUAACCACUCAAGCUCUCGCUUGGUAUUGGGGUUCGCGGUUUCGCGGCCCCUAAAAUCAGUGGCGGUGCCUGUCGGCUCUACGCGUAGUAAUACUCCUCGCGAUUGAGUCCGGUAGGUCUACUUGCCAGCAACCCCUAAUUUUUUUAAGGUUGACCUCGGAUCAGGUAGGGAUACCCGCUGAACUUAAGCAUAUCAAUAAGCGGAGGA
This 628-nucleotide ribosomal RNA is filed under the name Leptodontidium sp. Papochf 07. RNAcentral describes it as "eukaryotic LSU rRNA". The stretch from base 265 to 418 matches the Rfam family "5.8S ribosomal RNA". The record is from RNAcentral. RNAcentral also lists the same sequence under 2 other names. Lineage: Eukaryota; Fungi; Ascomycota; Leotiomycetes; Helotiales; Leptodontidiaceae.